Molecule: ribosomal RNA, 506 nt
Filed under: uncultured bacterium
Lineage: Bacteria
Description: partial 16S ribosomal RNA
Rfam family: Bacterial small subunit ribosomal RNA
Source: RNAcentral
AGUGAACGCUGGCGGUAGGCCUAACACAUGCAAGUCGAACGGCAGCACAGGAGAGCUUGCUCUCUGGGUGGCGAGUGGCGGACGGGUGAGGAAUACAUCGGAAUCUACUCUGUCGUGGGGGAUAACGUAGGGAAACUUACGCUAAUACCGCAUACGACCUACGGGUGAAAGCAGGGGAUCUUCGGACCUUGCGCGAUUGAAUGAGCCGAUGUCGGACUAGCUAGUUGGCGGGGUAAAGGCCCACCAAGGCGACGAUCCGUAGCUGGUCUGAGACGAUGAUCAGCCAAACUGGAACUGAGACACGGUCCAGACUCCUACGGGAGGCAGCAGUGGGGAAUAUUGGACAAUGGGCGCAAGCCUGAUCCAGCCAUACCGCGUGGGUGAAGAAGGCCUUCGGGUUGUAAAGCCCUUUUGUUGGGAAAGAAAUCCAGCUGGCUAAUACCCGGUUGGGAUGACGGUACCCAAAGAAUAAGCACCGGCUAACUUCGUGCCAGCCGCCGCGGUAA